RNAcentral lists this ribosomal RNA (468 nucleotides) under uncultured bacterium. RNAcentral describes it as "partial 16S ribosomal RNA". It matches the Rfam family "Bacterial small subunit ribosomal RNA", at positions 28 to 507 of the family's 1533-position model. The record is from RNAcentral.
GACGAACGCUGGCGGCGUGCUUAAUACAUGCAAGUCGAACGGAGAGGCCUUGCUCUUGUGGGGUGCUCGAGUGGCGAAAGGGUGUGAAUCACGCGAGUAACCUGUGCUUGACUUCGGGAUACCACCAGGAAAAUGGGGUGCAUACAGGACAGAAGAUCUUGCAGCACGGUGGGGGUGGGAAAGUUGCGGCGGUUGGGGAUGGACUCGCGGCCUAGCAGCUUGUUGGCGGGGUAGUGGCUUACAAAGGCAUCGACGAGUUGCCGGCCUGCGAGGGUGACCGGCCACAAUGGGACUGGGAUGCGGGCCGGACUCCUACGGGAGGCAUCGGUGGGGAAUAGUGCGCAAUGGGCGGAGUGCGGAUGCAACAACGCCGCGUGCGAGAAGACGGCCUUCGGGUAAUAAACCUCGUUCGCCUGUGACGAAGCGCGAGUGACGGUAAUGGGUAAAGAAGCACCGGCUAACUACGUG